Molecule: RNA transcript, 4699 nt
Organism: Gallus gallus (chicken)
Lineage: Eukaryota; Metazoa; Chordata; Aves; Galliformes; Phasianidae
Gene: KHDRBS1
Gene name: KH RNA binding domain containing, signal transduction associated 1
Exons: 11
Source: RefSeq, marked validated
ACUUCCGGCCCGAGCGCUGCGGCGGUCGGUGUGGCAGCGCCGUUCGGGCCCGUUCCGCUCCGCGCCCGCCCCUCCGCCCGCAUGCAGCGCCGCGACGACUCCUCCGCCCGUAUGGGCCGGGGGCCGGGGGGUCCCGGAGGCGCCCGCCAAGGGGGUCCCAAUCCGCGGCGGUCUCCCCGAGGCGGGGGGGGCCGUGGGGCCGGGGCCCAGCAGCCACAGCCGCUGCUGACCGGCGGGGCGGCCGCCGGCUCCUCGGGCGCGCAGGGCCCCGCCGCCGCCAACCCCGCCCCGCUGCUGCCCGGGGGCGCCGUCAAGAUGGAGCCCGAGAACAAAUACCUGCCCGAGCUGAUGGCCGAGAAGGACAGCCUGGACCCGUCCUUCACGCACGCCAUGCAGCUCCUCAGCGCAGAAAUUGAAAAAAUUCAGAAGGGUGAAACAACAAAGAAGGAUGAGGAAGAGAACUACCUGGAUUUAUUUUCUCACAAGAAUAUGAAACUGAAAGAACGAGUUCUGAUACCUGUCAAACAGUACCCCAAGUUCAACUUUGUUGGAAAGAUUUUGGGACCUCAAGGUAACACCAUCAAGAGGCUUCAGGAGGAAACUGGUGCUAAGAUCUCUGUGCUUGGGAAGGGUUCAAUGCGAGAUAAGGCAAAGGAGGAAGAGCUGCGUAAAGGGGGAGAUCCUAAAUAUGCUCAUCUAAAUAUGGAUUUGCAUGUCUUCAUUGAAGUGUUUGGACCCCCUUGUGAAGCAUAUGCUCUGAUGGCUCAUGCCAUGGAAGAGGUCAAGAAGUUCCUUGUCCCAGAUAUGAUGGAUGAUAUCUGUCAGGAGCAAUUCUUGGAGCUCUCCUAUCUGAACGGCGUACCAGAGCCAACUCGUGGCCGAGGAGGCCCUGUGCGGGGAAGGGGAGCAGCUCCACCACCGCCUCCACCUGUUCCAAGGUACCUUUCCCAAAAACAUGGACCUGGAAAUGCUGCAUCUUGCUCAGAGUGGUGCUGCGAGAUCAGGGGGCGCGGUGUUGGUCCUCCCCCUCCGCCGCCUCCUCCCCGGGGGGCCCUGGUGCGAGGAGCCCCGGUGCGGGGUGCCAUUGCCAGGGGAGCAGCUGUAGCCCGCGGGGUGCCUCCCCCCCCAGCAGUCCGGGGUGCUCCGGCACCCAGAGCACGUGCGGCCGGCAUCCAGCGGAUACCUCUUCCUCCUCCUCCCGCGCCAGAAACCUACGAGGAAUACGGUUAUGAUGAUGCAUAUGCAGACCAGAGCUAUGAGGGCUACGAAGGCUACUACAGCCAGGGCCAAGGGGACACAGAAUACUAUGAUUAUGGACACGGGGAGGCACAGGAAACCUAUGAAGCUUAUGGCCAAGAUGACUGGAAUGGUACCAGGCCCUCCCUGAAGGCCCCACCAGCCCGGCCGGUGAAGGGCGCCUACAGAGAGCACCCAUACGGACGUUACUAAAAACAAAAUGAGGGAAAAAUAGCAGUUAUGAGCAAACAGUUGUUACUGAUUCUUGUAUCUCCCAGGAUUCCUGUUGCUUUGCCCACACCAGACAAGAGCGCAGAGCGGCUGGCGGCGGAGCGAGGGCUGGAGGCAGGAAGGGGCAGCGCGCACUGGUUUAUGAGCUCCCCCAGGUACCGGGCACUGUCACCGCUCACCGGUGAUACCGGGUUGGGACGAGCCCAGCGCGGAGCCCCGGCACCCGUGGGUCGCCUUUGGGCGCUGGUACCGCUCGGCAGCGGUGGUGAUGGGGCUCCCUCUGCUGGUUGCUGAGGCCGCCGUGAUUUGUUCUGCAAACGCCUUCAUAACGCAGCACGUGCGUGCAGACCGUGCGGGGCUGCGGCGGGGGGCGCAGCGCUCCGGCAGCACGCGGCGCUGACCUCGCGCAGCAAGGACGCGUCUCCCCUGCGGCACCAAAGGCGGCAGCCCUGAGCGCGUCCUCUGGGGACAGCCGGUUGGUUUCUCUAAUAUCUCGAGAUCGCUGGAAGGCUGAGCUCCAGAAAUCGGAGAACAAAGAAAUAAACCUUUGUGCUGCCGGAGAAGUAUAACGGCUUCAAAAGGCUGCUGUGCAAAGCCCCGGGAGCAGGACGUAGAAGGACAUAAGACUUAUUUUAUAUGGAAAUGCAGAGCUACCCAACGAGCUUCUCCUAAGAGCAUUAGGAACAAGAAAAUGGCUAUAUGUGGAAAUGGUGCAGCGGAAUGAGAUUACCCUCAAUUCUUUGCCUUUAACUUGGAAAUUGGAGCUGUAAUUCUGUUAGGGAGAGGCAUCGCAUCUGGAACUCGGGGGCCUGUUUGUGUAAUGCAUCUCCAUUACAACGUAACUGGAACAUCACUUUACGUGGUGGUGUUCCAAUCUUUGCCAUUUCUUUCUUAAUAGGCACAACUUUUAUGUCAAGUGGAAAAGAUUUGAUAGAGAUCAUCUAUUAUGAUGCAGUUUUUUACCAGUAGGAGUGGAUCUUGUGGCACUGCCUUUGGAGCUGUACAGCUUGCUUUGCAUCACAUUUAUUGCAUGUUUAUGUGAAAAUGUUGAAUGUUAUGGGGGAAUGUAAAUCUUAAUAUAUUGAAAAUAACUGCAUAUGCUAAAAAUAUUUCAAAAACAUGUUCUGCACCAGAUAGCUUCCUCCCUCUCAAAGCAGCACUACGUGCAGAUUGUAGCCUGGAGUCUGCAGGAGCUAAAUGGAGAUCCCAAAAUAGCCUUCAGCAUCGGAUGUGUCUCUGAGAUGCUCUAAUGAGCCACGCUCCGGGGUGAUGCAGGGCUCACAGAGAUAUGUGAGGGUGGAGAUCCCUCGGAGUGCUGAAGGCUGAGUCACCCAAUAACCAUCCCUUUUGUGCUGACAGCCACCGGAGGUGGUACUUAUUCUGCUGGCUGUUAGCAAACAAGUGCAGGUGACGUUUCACCUCCGGACUUGCCCAUAGAACUAAUCCACAUCUCAUUAUUUGUGGGAUGGUGGUAAAAGAUAAAAGCCCCCACCUACGUGGUACUGCAUAGCAUAACAUACACAGCAGUCACAUCUCCCCUGUGGAAGUGUUUCCCAGCAGCGCUGUUCUCAGGCUUGGCUUUAGGAGCACCCUCUGCUGCAGAGCACUCCCUGCUCAGCAGCCCAUCCCCUCUGAAUCCUGCUCUGGGGGGCUGCUGCUGGUCCAGCACUUGGUACCAGUGCUCAGACUGCCCUGCUUGGAGGCGGUACACAGCCGGACUUUGUCCUCCUGCAGUGGGAUGUCACCACGUGUGGUGGCUCCCAGCACUGAGCAGCAGCUGAGCUCCAGCUGGGACUGCAGAGAUGUCCCGAGCAGUUUUUCCUGGAAGGAGGCUGUUGUACUGUGUGUAUUCCUUACCCCUGGUUUCAAGUUGCUGUUUAGAUUAUUAGAUAAAGCAAAUGACUGUGAGCUUCCUUUUAUAAUUUACUGAUUUAACUUAGUAUGGCCCUCUGUAAAACUCCGUAUUUGGCAAGUUGGAUCCAGCUGAGGUUUAGGAGCACAGCUGCAUUCCCUGCUUGGCUCUUAGAGCAGAUGAAUCUUUUUGCACAGAAUGAGUUUUCAAAUUAGUAUGAGAGCAUCUGUCAUGGACAGAGCCAAGAAAAGCAAUUGAGAUGUGCACCUCUUCCUUCCUUGCCCCAUACCGCUGCUCCUGAAGAGCCCGUGUGGGCGGGGGGCAGCUGGCACAGACCCCAGGGGAGGGCAGCAGCUGUGCCCGUCUGCUGGGAGCUGAGCAGAGCAGGAGGUGCCGUUAGCACAGCCCUGCCAUGAGGGCUGUUGUGAGUACAGAUGGUGCUUUUAGGGAGUAAGGCACAGCUUAGGGAAAUCCUGCCUUAACUGAGAAACCUUCAGCAUCUCGAGUGAGGUGUUGGACACAAGCCCUGUUGGUAAGCUUUGAGGGGGAGGAAUUUCUGCAGCCAGUCAGGGCCUGCGGGAACUGCCAGCUCCAACGUGGAUAUCAUUCCUCUUUACUCAGGAAGCUCAGAUCCCGAGAGCACAGAGCAGAACCCUUUGCUGUCAUUGCUCAGCUGAGCCCCGUGUUCCAAUUGAAAUGUUUGUUUCCACGCUCACUUUGCUCCUUCUGCGCUGCGGGACGGAGGUCGGAUGCGUUGCUUUCAGGUGGUGAAGGACCGUGGUCCAGGAGCCCCGUGCUUUACUGCGAGUUGGAAGAAGCCGAGUGCCAGCUCUGCUGAAUGCCAGAGCUCCUUCAGCUGCCUCCAGAGCUGGAGAGAGGCAGCACUGAAGCACAGCCUUCCCCAUGGAGCUGUUGCUGCUGGCUCUGGAACCAAGCACGAGCAAAGGCGUGCCUGCAGUGUUCCACCCUGACCUGCUCCUGUAGAGCACCAGUGCUGCUGCUGGGCUGGAGGACGUGGUUCUGCCCCAGGUGCCGGGAUGCUGCUGGGCUUCGGUGCACAGGUUCCAAAACCAAUAAGGAACGGAAGAACGCUCCAAUGAAGGGCUGUUCAUUUUAGAAGAGGCUUUGCCUGCAGGCUGGGCAGGGGCAGCAGGCAGGAUUGUGUACUGCUCCAUCUGAGCCAUAGCCUGAGCUGCCCGCAGGUUGGGGAGUUCAGCGCAGAGCGCUGCAGGUGGCCGGCGGAGGCGGUGAGCGGUGAUCGAGGUACUCGUGGAGUCGAGAUGACGUGUAUGGGAAGCUGGCACGCUGUGACACAGCCGGCGUUUAGCUGAUGUUGUCAUUCCUUAAUAAAGACUGCACACGGAUCUUUUGGCUUCCAAA